Long non-coding RNA from Centruroides sculpturatus (bark scorpion), 696 nucleotides. RefSeq lists it as uncharacterized. The transcript is spliced from 4 exons. The record is from RefSeq and is a predicted model, not a curated record. NCBI's taxonomy places the organism in Eukaryota, Metazoa, Arthropoda, Arachnida, Scorpiones, Buthidae.
AGAUGGUGCCACUAAUGGGAAAGCAAGAACGAAAUGAAAUUUGCAUAAUCUAUUUAUUUUUGAAUAAUAAAGUAUGAAAAAAAAGAGCCAUCGAGAAAGAGAUAAACAGGGAAAAGGUGUGGCUUACAACUUCUUUAGAAAACAAUCUGUCUCGCCAUCAUCGUUUAUAGAAAACAAGUAAUUGGAGAUAUUAAAUAUAUCAAGUUUCAUGCAAGCCUGACGUCAGAAGAAGAGUGAUGAUGAAGAAUUAAUAUUCGAUAAAUUAAUUCAGAAUUGUAUUUCCCAGCGUCAUCUGCAAUCCGACACCAGUUCAUAAACUUCAAAAUUAAAAAGAAGUGAAAAAGUAAUAUUUUCUAAUAAAAAUAAAUUUAAUGUUUUAAAAAGUAUUAUUCUUUAAACAAAAUAUAUUAUAUAAUGAUGAACAACAACCAUACUUUAAACAAUGAUAAUUAAAAUGGGAAUUGUCACGUCAAUGUAAUAUAUUUGAAAUGAUCCUCAAAAAAGAUUAUUUAAACUAUUGGUCCCUAGGAGGGAGAUUGAUUUAACCCCUAUAUCAAUGGAUAUACAGUCGACCCCCCUAUAAUGUGGAUUCUAUAACGGAGAUUCCCAUAACAUAGCAAAAAAAUUGCGACAAUAUUCGUAUAAGGACGCUAAAAGGGACUCGUAAAACAUCAUCACCGACUCGUGUCGUGACAG